UAGGCCGGAGUUCCGGAAACUUUCCCUUCCGCUCUCUCCCCCUUUCUUUUCCUUUCUUUCCUUGUUUAGACGGGUACUCUUUUUCCUUUUACGGUUUUUCCCUCUGGGUUUUCCGUAAAAAGGUUUUAAUGAGGCUCGGCCCUUAGUCUGCUUUCUUGUGCUCUCAAGGGUUUUAGGUUUUCUUUUUUUUCCUUUCUUAAUAAAUUUGCAUUUUAAUAAU
RNAcentral lists this long non-coding RNA (220 nucleotides) under Salvia miltiorrhiza (redroot sage). Its description in RNAcentral is "long non-coding RNA (SMIL_LNC003327)". The record is from RNAcentral. Lineage: Eukaryota; Viridiplantae; Streptophyta; Magnoliopsida; Lamiales; Lamiaceae.